This 49-nucleotide microRNA precursor is filed under the name Homo sapiens (human). RNAcentral describes it as "microRNA hsa-mir-10396a precursor". The record is from miRBase by way of RNAcentral. Lineage: Eukaryota; Metazoa; Chordata; Mammalia; Primates; Hominidae.
GGCGGGGCUCGGAGCCGGGCUUCGGCCGGGCCCCGGGCCCUCGACCGGG